This is a non-coding RNA of Paramormyrops kingsleyae, 485 nucleotides long. Lineage: Eukaryota; Metazoa; Chordata; Actinopteri; Osteoglossiformes; Mormyridae. The record is from RefSeq and is a predicted model, not a curated record.
UGUCCUUUCUUUCAGUGUCCAAAGUCGAAGGUGAUUUCAUUUCUAGGGGCUUAAUUGAUGGAUUUGCAGUUACACUGAUGUAUAACUGUGUCCCCAGCUCUGGAGCCUUCCUUGAUUUUAAGGCCUGAUUCAAAGGUGAGGAGGUCCAAAAAAUGAUACAGCGAAACAGCAGUCCUCCAGGUAAGAGUGUGGACAGUACUUCGUCAAGCCAGUGCUAAAAGGAGUGAAACGUCCCGGAGUCAGCACAAGGUCUUCAGUGCAGAAUAGUACCAUUUUUCCCCUUUCGGCACAGAGGGAUCCCGACAGAAGAACAAGAAUAACAUCUCAGGGAUGGCGGGGUGGCCGGCUGCUCCCCAUGAGCAGCUCUCUAAGGAGGGACCAGUGACUCAUUGCGAAACACUGUUGACAUGCCGCGGUCAGCCUGCUGGAAAUGCCACGUUUUCCCAGCGACCGGGGCCACUGUACAGCUGUACUCUGUGUACCGA